CCCUUAGAUGUUCUGGGCCACACGCGCGUUACACUGAUGAAGCCAGCGAGUAUAUCGCCUUCACCGGAAGGUGCGGGUAAUCUUGUGAAACUUCAUCGUGCUGGGGAUAGACCAUUGCAAUUAUUGGUCUCGAACGAGGAAUUCCUAGUAAGCAUGAGUCAUCAACUCGUGCUGAUUACGUCCCUGCCCUUUGUACACACCGCCCGUCGCUACUACCGAUUGAAUGGUUUAGUGAGAUCUCGGGAUUGGAGACGUUGCGCCGCAAGGCACAUCGUCCUCGAGAACUUGAUCAAACUUGAUCAUUUAGAGGAAGUAAAAGUCGUAACA
RNAcentral lists this ribosomal RNA (327 nucleotides) under uncultured eukaryote. RNAcentral's name for it is "partial 18S ribosomal RNA". It matches the Rfam family "Eukaryotic small subunit ribosomal RNA", at positions 1470 to 1796 of the family's 1831-position model. The record is from RNAcentral.